UACGUAGGGGGCAAGCGUUGUCCGGAUUUAUUGGGCGUAAAGAGCGUGUAGGCGGCCAGACAGGUCCGUUGUGAAAACUCGAGGCUCAACCUCGAGACGCCGAUGGAAACCGUCUGGCUAGAGUCCGGAAGAGGAGAGUGGAAUUCCUGGUGUAGCGGUGAAAUGCGCAGAUAUCAGGAAGAACACCCGUGGCUAAGGCGGCUCUCUAGUACGGUACUGACGCUGAGGCGCGAAAGCAUGGGUAGCAAACAGG
This 253-nucleotide ribosomal RNA is filed under the name uncultured bacterium. RNAcentral's name for it is "partial 16S ribosomal RNA". It matches the Rfam family "Bacterial small subunit ribosomal RNA", at positions 524 to 776 of the family's 1533-position model. The record is from RNAcentral.